RNAcentral lists this ribosomal RNA (881 nucleotides) under uncultured bacterium. RNAcentral's name for it is "bacterial SSU rRNA". It matches the Rfam family "Bacterial small subunit ribosomal RNA", at positions 28 to 904 of the family's 1533-position model. The record is from RNAcentral.
GAUGAACGCUAGCUACAGGCUUAACACAUGCAAGUCGAGGGGCAGCAUAGGCGUAGCAAUACGUUUGAUGGCGACCGGCGGAUGGGUGAGUAACACGUAUCCAACCUGGCAUAUACACAGGGACAGCCUUCUGAAAGGAAGAUUAAUACCUGAUGCCGCGAGAUAGACUCCUGUUUUUUUCGUGAAAGAUUCAUCGGUAUAUGAUGGGGAUGCGUCUGAUUAGGCAGUUGGCGGGGUAACGGCCCACCAAACCGACGAUCAGUAGGGGUUCUGAGAGGAAGGUCCCCCACAUUGGAACUGAGACACGGUCCAAACUCCUACGGGAGGCAGCAGUGAGGAAUAUUGGUCAAUGGGCGAGAGCCUGAACCAGCCAAGUAGCGUGAAGGAAGACUGCCCUAUGGGUUGUAAACUUCUUUUAUACGGGAGUAAACUGAGAGUCGUGACUUUCAUUGCAAGUACCGUAAGAAAAAGCAUCGGCUAACUCCGUGCCAGCAGCCGCGGUAAUACGGAGGAUGCGAGCGUUAUCCGGAUUUAUUGGGUUUAAAGGGAGCGUAGGCGGUCUGUCAAGUCCGUUGUGAAAAUUCACGGCUCAACCGUGUCCUUGCAGUUGAAACUGACAGCCUUGAGUGUGGUACAGGAAGGCGGAAUUCGUGGUGUAGCGGUGAAAUGCAUAGAUAUCACGAAGAACUCCGAUUGCGCAUGCAGCUUUCCGGACCAUUACUGACGCUGAAGCUCGAAAGUGCGGGUAUCAAACAGGAUUAGAUACCCUGGUAGUCCGCACAGUAAACGAUGAAUACUCGCUGUUGCGAUAUACGGUCAGCGGCCGCGCGAAAGCAUUAAGUAUUCCACCUGGGGAGUACGCCGGCACCGGUGAAACUCAA